Molecule: ribosomal RNA, 253 nt
Filed under: uncultured bacterium
Lineage: Bacteria
Description: partial 16S ribosomal RNA
Rfam family: Bacterial small subunit ribosomal RNA
Source: RNAcentral
UACGUAGGUGGCAAGCGUUAUCCGGAUUUAUUGGGCGUAAAGAGAACGCAGGCGGUCUUUUAAGUCUGAUGUGAAAGCCUUCGGCUUAACCGGAGUAGUGCAUUGGAAACUGGGAGACUUGAGUGCAGAAGAGGAGAGUGGAACUCCAUGUGUAGCGGUGAAAUGCGUAGAUAUAUGGAAGAACACCAGUGGCGAAAGCGGCUCUCUGGUCUGUAACUGACGCUGAGGUUCGGAAGCGUGGGUAGCAAACAGG